GUGUGUUUGGUUUGUAGAUGGCACAACUUUCAAGACACCUCAAUGGAAAAGCUUGUGUGUUGUUGCUUUGGGUCAAACCUCAGUUUGAGCAUUUGAAACAUGAAAACAAACACACCUAUAGAAGUCAAUAAUGUUUAGAUGGGAUAUGGAGUUUUGAACUUAUAAUGUUUUAUGUUGUUUUGAAGUAGACAUUGGAGAACUUUACUUUUAUGCUUUUCCUUUUCUUAGUUGUUCACAAUAUUUUCUUCAGCGCUUAUCCUAUGGUGUUUUUAUGUAUUUAACAGAGGGAUCAUGCCAAAAAGAGAUUGGAUAGUCAUCACUUUGAACCUAAUGGAAGUAGCGGUUUGUAUGGCCAGCAUAGUGUGAAGAAGCUGAAGCCAACAAAACAAUCCCUUGAUAAUUUUGACAAUGUUGCUCCAAUAGCUAAUUCUAUUCCCUCCCCUGCUGCUUCGCAAAUGAGUAACAUGUCCAGUCCAAGUAAAUUUAUUAGAAUCAUUAGUGGUGGACGAGAUAGGGGGAGGAAAGCCAAAGCACUUAAGGUUUCUGUGGGACAGCCUGGUUUUGGAAGUCCUUGGUCACUAUUUGAAGA
Molecule: long non-coding RNA, 589 nt
Organism: Glycine soja
Lineage: Eukaryota; Viridiplantae; Streptophyta; Magnoliopsida; Fabales; Fabaceae
Exons: 3
Source: RefSeq, a predicted model, not a curated record